AGCCAUGCAGCCAUUCUCACUGGAUUAUGCCUUAGCAAAUGUUUACUUGAAAGGAGGUCAGCAUCCAAGACAAGUUUUGCCUGUGGUGUGAACAGACCCUCAGUCUCUUGUUAGUUGCUGAAGUACUUUUAAGUAUUUACUCCUGUAGGCACAAUGAGGAAACUCCCUCUUCUUCCAUUGCUGGUUUAUUUCCAGGGAAAUUUCUGGGUGAAAGGAAUAACAGUCAUUGCCCCAUGUGAAAUAAAGUCUGUGCUAGAACUGAGCAUAACAAACUGACACUGAAACAAAGGAGACCUUGGGCAACAGGAUCAGAGCAGUCCCCAUAGCCUACAAAGCUUCUGGAGCAGGACUCCACAUCUGCUCCCCUGGCCAGGAUCCAGACUCAGUGCAAGCCAGACAAAGAUUUCAAUUACUGAAGGAGCAGCUGUUGCUCCAGAAGACAGGGGUGAAGCCAAUCCCUUCUCCACAUGCUACUCAAACUGCACAAAAAGCUGGCCAGCGGGCCAGAGCACAGCUGUAUGGUGUAACUUAGCUUUUCAAGGAAAGGACACCAGUUUAAUUAAGGUCUGUGCUUGCAACAGAGGGCUGAACAGUGCCCAGUUCUCCUCUUCUCUGGAUCAACAGCAGCAGCACGAGCUUCUCAUGUGUGCACGUACCUCGCCUCUAGCAGGGACUGGUCUCCGUUUCACUGCAUCCCCUUCUGGCUCUGCUAACACUAUUCUCAGUUGCCGACCUGUUGUUAUGGGCACAGCUUGGCUUGUGUGGCUGCUUCAGCUGAAGACUCUCCAGGGACUGUUUGACCUCAGCAUGGAAUAUAAGGCUACACAGCGAGUUUUGGUGCAAUCUACACUGCAAUGUGCAGCUGGCUCAGGAGAAAUGAGUUUUGGCGCUGGAAGCAACCAAACAAGCUGAGAUCCCAGUGCAGGCUUAUUUCUUGGAGCAGUGCACAACCUCACAGAAGAAAGCUUCUGAUAGAAAGAAAAAAAUAUUAUCAUCUGCCAGGGCUAUUUAUGUAAAAUUGUAAAGAAGCAAGUUUAAAAAUAGUUAUGGAGAGAAUAAAGGUAUUUGACCUAUUUGAAACAGACUUUAACCUUCUCUAAGCCCCUGAGAAAACUGAAGAGAAACCUCAGAAAAGUGGGUUAAGCAAAAAAGACAUUCUGAGAAAUUCCUACCACAAAGGCAAAAGAUUAAUUUCAUCUCUAAUGCAUAUGUGCUAUUAAUUCACCUCAAAUUGUUAAUAAGGUGAGUUAGCGAAGUGUUCUACCAAUAAGCAGGUCACAACAACAAAUUUCAAAUGUGGAAAAGCCCCCCAAAAAGAAAUUUCUCUCUUCCCAUGAUGAUAUGGAAAAUGGGUUAUAAAAGCGUCUAAAGGUGUCCUUUGCUUCCUCCCGAAUUUUACCUCAUUAUCACAGCCUCAGAUCUCUGCUCAGCCUAACUCCAGGCAUAAGAUAGGUAAGAAAAUAACCUCACAUAGAAAUCUGGAGGAAAUAUGCUGCAUGGAUAGAAUACAGUAUUUGUAAUAUAUUUCUGAAAAGGCAACAUAAGAUUGGACAGAAAUUUUAUUUAUGUUUUUCCUGUAACAAGUUGAAAUACUAUUUUUUGGAAGGUAAUGGAGUCUCUGGUUAAACACCACCUCUAAUGGUUUUAAAUUAUGAUUUUCUUUAAAAGGAGGUAGUAUAAUAUUGGAAAUAAGAACAACAACAAGAAAAAGUAUUUAGUAUAGGCUUUAAAUCUGUGGCAAACUUAGGAUGCCUCACUUUGGGUGCAACCGACUUGAAUAUUAUUUUAAUUUUCCAGAUUACUACAGUGACUUAAUUAUCAUAGUAAUUACUUAUUUUUGCAAUUUAUUAAUAAUUAAAUUAUCCAUGCAAAGCAUGGGAGGCCUAGUAUGCUCAUUUGUAAAAUAUUUUUUUUUACCUUACAAUCUGUUUCAAUUCUUUACAGUAGACCAUGUCAUAAAAUAUGGACCAUUUUUAGUGGAGGAAUGCUCUUUGAAAGCCCUCCCCACCAGGCAAUGCAGAAAAAAAUUAGAAACUAGGGUUCAUAGUAUCUAUUGUCCAUCCACUACUUUUCUAAUUUCUUCCUUUUUUCCCCUCUAUUUUAUAUGAAGACAAUACAGUCAAGACUAGUGAGUUAGGACACUUUUGGCUGUCUUUAAUUGCAAUUUCCUUACACAUCUGUCAAGGAAUCUUAUGUGAGAAAAAUAGAGGAAUUCAUUGCACCUGGCAAAGGCUUUCCAGCAUCAUUUAGAAGAUAUAAUUGUACGUGACUUGUCCUGUGCAUUAGGGAUCUUCAGCCCUGUAGGUAGUCUUCCUAGAAUAAAUGCUGUCGGAUUAGGUAGUCUAUCCAAUAUGCAGUUUGGCUGAAAAAAAAAUAAAAAAUAAAAAAGAUUUUCUGCUUUAUACUCUGUGUAGAAAAUGAACUGGUUUUGCUUGUUGUAUUGCAUUUCUUCCAUGUGAGCACUGAAAUAAAGCUAGUUUUUCUUUUUGAAGCAUUUAUUGUUACCUCUGACAUAAUGGGCUAAGGGGCAAGUGAAGUUAAAGCAUCUGAGCUAAGCAAAGGUGACAUUAACCAGUUUUAGUGAGAACAGCUUGUCAGACAGUAUUAAGUUCUGCUUGGGUCCAUCCGGGUUUCCAGCAUGUUAAUAAACAUUGCCACUAAAAGAAGGGAGCAAAAUUUACUAGAAGACAAUAUUCAUUUUAUUAUUAUUAUAUUUUUUUUUGGCAGAGAACACUACAGUAAGUCAAAGAUUUAUUACUUGUGCAGUCCAGCUAUUUAUUUUGCAUGAAAGACAGUGGAAAACACUGGUCUUAGCAAGAAAAAUUUCCCCCUCAAAUUCUUCAUUUUUUUAUUCUUUUUUUUUCCAAGAAAUUUAAACAGUAAAUAUGACAAAGUGGUUGGAAAACUAAAUUAGCUUUGCUGCCAGGAUGCCUAAAUCUCAGAUUACCUGUAAAAACUGUUCAUGACAACACAUUGUGCUUUUUAAACUCCCUGAACACAUCACUUUCUGAAAUAUCUCUCUGUUCCCAAGAUGGAGUUAUCUGACGCACUCUUCCUAAUGUGUUUGAACAGUUAAACUAGCCUAAAGCACCAGAACUUAAAUGCAUUAUAAAUGAAUCACUAUGGAUACACGGUGUCUUGAUGAUCCUGAGUAUUUGCCUUUGUAUUACAUUUUGAUAUCUGUAGUAUUUGCCGACCCAGCAGAAAAACAAGCUUCAUAAAAUUUGAUUAUUUUAUUAGAGCAGUCAAAUUAAAAAGUUAAGGGGAUGUUGAAAUAUAAGACAAAUUGAAAUAAUAAAAUUUGCCAUCUGUUGGCUCUAACAGGUGAUAUCUUCACAAAACUCUGAAGCAAAAGAAGAGGGAUUGACAGGUUGAAUCCUGCAGCCUGUACCCAGGGCCAAAUCUUCUGCCUUUGGUACAGAGGUCUUUUUCAGUUUCAUUGCAAACACAUCUGUCCCCCAUGCAUGAAUGAUUGAGGAAGACAGGAAUGGGCCAUGCAAUCUUCCAGCUAUCUUGCCUGCUGUGUGCUGACACUACUGCCAAAUGCCAUCUGUCACAUAAGCAAUGUGUGGAGUUGAUUUCAAUAAGAAAAUGCGGUUAAAAGGCAAUUUGAUCUCCACUCUGACUUUGCGUUUUCUUAUUUAGAACUUUCUCUGAGUUCAGCGAGAGGUCUGGCUGAAUGCUAAUGAGGCAAGGAUUGCAGGACUUGGCCCAAGAUAUCAUAAAAAUCAGGUUGGAAUACUUCAUCUACAAUUACGGUUGGCAAGGCAAAGCUAGUAGCUCCCUCUUCUUUCCUCCUAGAACCCCCUUGUUACUGUGGAUCAAUGCAGUAUGCAGACCUCUGGUCAUAUAACAAAAUAGCUCUCAUUUACCUGGGUAGCUUAUUUUUCCACAGAAAUCAGGACUGCUUCAUUUACUGCUUUGGAAAUUAGUCCCUUAGAAGUCGAACCAACAUCCACUAAAAUUCAUGGACUACCUCCAAGGGACUGCAGCAGAUUUAGGUGAAACCCAACAUAUCUUCGUGUAGGAAACAUUAAUAUGGAAAGAAGAUUGCUCCAAUCCUUUUUGUGUGAAGAGGACAGAAGAUAGUUUGGCUUUCAUAUACCAGUACAGAAGUAGCUCUUUUGACCAACACAGCUGGAAAACCUGUGGCUUCUUUUUAAACAGAAGCUAACUUCAGCAGCCUGGCACUGAGGCCAUAUGUUGGAGCCAAAAUUGCAGAACAAAUUCAUACUGCUCAGAGCAUCCGCCAGAAAAAGUUGUCCCAUUGGGUGUGCCUUGUUAAAAGCAGCCUGCUGCUAGGGACCUGGAGCUGGAGCAGCCUGCAUGUGGUUUAGAUGGUCUGCAAAUAUGGUUUGUCGAUAGGUAAAUAAAUAACUUGUGAUGUUUUGCUCAAUGAUUUUUUUGUGCACUGGAAUUUAGAUUCACCAUACCAACACUAUUGUGGGUGUUUAAGGUAUUCUUCACUUUGGGAACCUUUGUGCAAAUUACAUAGUGAACAUUUCCUAGAUAUCAUUAACAACACAGGGAGCAAGAUGAACUUGGGAAAAUCACAUUAAUGAAGUCUAUUUUGUCUUUAUUAAAUAUAGCUAAGUUACACCAGAGUCUAAGAAGGUGAUGAAUUAAAUAACCUGGUCAAAUGAGAAAGACUUAAAAUAUCUUUCUUGAAGGCUUUUCUUCCCUAAAAAUAAAGAACUCUUCAGGUAGUCAGAGAUCAACAUCAUUCUCCUUCAAAACUGUUUCAUUACUCUGAUGACUGUGUAGACUGUGAUGUGCUUAGACUCCUGGGAGUGCAGAUACAGUUACAACAAUUGCUCAUAAUUUUGAUGAGCCAUUAAAGGUAAUGUGAUGUUUUGUAAUCUGUAAGUGGGAAAUUAAUGACACCCAAAAGCUGCUGCUACAACAGAUGUUCAGAUCCUGUGUUAAGUCUUUGUGCGUUCACAUGCCUUGAGUUAUAUUUAAUAUUAUUUAAGAGAGCCAUUAAGAAGUGGUAGCAUUGUUCAGAGAUAGCAUUAUGUUUUUAAAUAUUUUAAAGGUUUUUUUUUUUAGAUUUAAAAUUUUACAAAUGAAAAUUUUGUUAGAUAAUGCAUAUAUUUAAAUCUACAUUCAUAUACAUACUUCUUUUUUAUCUAUAGUUAUAUAUGUUCUCUAUAUACACACAUAUAUAUGAAGCAUGUAUUGAUUUUCCACCCUAAAUUCCCAUAAAUAAUACAGUAUUGGAUACAGUGAUGAUAAGGUACAGCAUCAGUUGGUAGUCAGGUUAGAAUCUGUGAAUAUAAUGUAUUAAUAUCUGAUUGUUAAAUUAAUGAUUAGAAUAAAAUGUUCUUAAGAGGAAGGAUUUCUGAGUUGUCUUGGUGCAAUGUUAGCUAACUAUAACUAGUUUGUUCUCACAUGUUCCAGAGAUGCAACAUAUGCCUCAGAGACUAAUUAUCACCACUGAUUGAGUAAUGAUUUCUGGAGCUUCAUGGCCAUUCCUGUUUAAAUGACACUGCAAGUUGAUUACACUGCAUAAUGCUAAAGCAGGGAGGGGAAGUUAUCCCAAUAAUCCCAGCCCUGAGAUAUACUGUGAAGGUGUAUAAGAAAGGGUCACAUAACCAAUUAAGAUUUUAUAGUGUAAAAAAAAAAAAAAAGAUCUUAGUAUUAAAUUAGUAUUAUCACAUUUUGAUUGAAAGAAAUGAGUGGUUCAAGGGUAUUAUGGAAGUCUGUUAAAUUAUUGCAGAACAUAACUGAGAUAAAAGAGAUGCAGCUGACCAAAUCCAGACUUGCACAUAAGAAGUGUGUUGUUCCUUCAGUCAAUAAAUAUUUUUUACAUAAAGUUCUUAUGGAAAACAAUACGUGUUUUUAUGGCAAGGUGUCUUCCUUGGUGAAGAAACAGGUGAAGCUAUAAUUCGCUAGGACAAAGUAGAAAAAUAUGCCCAGCUAUGCAUGGCUCUAAUGAUAUUUUUUAAUAGAUUUUUCUUUUCACAAAAUGAUUAUAAUUUCUAUGUCUGUUUUGAAGAUUGUAAAAUUUGAUCCCAGAAAAAUUCACUAAAGAAUUGUUCCACUGAGUCAUUGUACAAGUUUUCUAAUCCUAAAAUAAUCUAGUUUUGCGUGUGGGUGGGAGAGUCGGGAAACUUCUGUGGAUUUGUAAAUCCAUAAAGUGCUUUCUGUAAGUAGGCAGCAUCAAUCACUGAGAUGUCAGGCCAAAAUUAGUUCCCUAAAUUACCUUCCGAGUCAAUGAGUAGGCACCCACAUGUUUUGAGUCAACCACCUAUAAGAGAGACUAAACUUUUACUCAGUCAAAAUCAACUGACUCUAAGCUCAGAAUCUCAGGUCUUGAUAUACAAGUAUUUCAACAUAUUCCAAUGGCUUUUACAGCAGUUUAAAUAAAAACAAAUUAAAGAAAAGGAAAAUAAACUUUAGAAAUAGCCUUGCUAUUUCUAAAUUUCUUCCUCUAUCUGCUCUGAAUGCAGAUAUUUAAGUCUAAAGUUCACUGAUAAAAACUAGACUUUCCCCAAGAACUUCACUUUGAGUUGGGUGAAAAUGACCACCUCAUGAAGUUUUAAUUAUCAGUAGCUCUCAUAAGUAGGUUGUGGGACUCCUAUGAUGUAGGCUUCUCGAGUAUAGGAUAUAAAUGCUUCCAGAGUCUAUGACUUUAUUCACUAGCAACAACACCCUUGAAAAUUGUUCUCUCUCUCUGCAUAAAACAUUUCAAGGUUUCUGAUUAUUUUUUUUCCUACAAUUAGAAUAGAAUUUAUUUUUUAUACUAAUGGUGUGUUUGUAAUAAAGAGCUAACAUAUUUUUGUGGGUAAUCUUUUUGAAAAAGAAAAAAGUGAAG
Molecule: long non-coding RNA, 6817 nt
Organism: Anas platyrhynchos (mallard)
Lineage: Eukaryota; Metazoa; Chordata; Aves; Anseriformes; Anatidae
Source: RefSeq, a predicted model, not a curated record